RNAcentral lists this ribosomal RNA (491 nucleotides) under uncultured bacterium. RNAcentral describes it as "bacterial SSU rRNA". It matches the Rfam family "Bacterial small subunit ribosomal RNA", at positions 903 to 1397 of the family's 1533-position model. The record is from RNAcentral.
AAAUGAAUUGACGGGGGCCCGCACAAGCGGUGGAGCAUGUGGUUUAAUUCGAAGCAACGCGAAGAACCUUACCAGGGCUUGACAUCCCUUGACAGUUGUAGAGAUACAAUCUUUCUUCGGAACAAGGAGACAGGUGGUGCAUGGUUGUCGUCAGCUCGUGUCGUGAGAUGUUGGGUUAAGUCCCGCAACGAGCGCAACCCUUGCCUUUAGUUGCCAUCAUUAAGUUGGGCACUCUAGAGGGACUGCCGGCUAAAAGUCGGAGGAAGGUGGGGAUGACGUCAAAUCAUCAUGCCCCUUAUGUCCUGGGCUACACACGUGCUACAAUGGUCUAUACAGAGGGAAGCGAAGCGGCGACGUGAAGCGAAUCCCAGAAAAUAGGCCUCAGUUCGGAUUGUAGGCUGCAACUCGCCUACAUGAAGUCGGAAUCGCUAGUAAUCGCAGGUCAGCAUACUGCGGUGAAUACGUUCCCGGGCCUUGUACACACCGCCCGU